Molecule: long non-coding RNA, 2475 nt
Organism: Anolis carolinensis (green anole)
Lineage: Eukaryota; Metazoa; Chordata; Lepidosauria; Squamata; Anolidae
Source: Ensembl
UCCCUGCUGGUUUUCCUUCCACAAGAAGGUCAAGAUCUUCCUCAGGAGGACUUUGGGGAAGGAUAAGGGCACGUUGCUAUGGAGGUUGUGAGUGGUUUUUUUGAGGGGGUUGUGUGUUUUAAAAUGCAUUCUAUUGCAUUUAUUGUAUUUUAACUGUAUUUUUAACCCAACACACACAAAAUUGUUUACUGCAUAUACUCGAGUAUAAGCCGACCCAAAUAUAAGCCGAGGCACCUAAUUUUACCACAAAAAAACUGGGAAAACAUUGACUCCAGUAUAAGCCAAUGGUGGUAAAUUUCAGAAAUAAAAAUAGAUCUCAAUAAAAUUACAUUAAUUGAGGCCUCAGUAGGUUAAAUGUUUUUGAAUAUUUACAUAAAGCUCAAAUUUAAGAUAAGACUGUCCAACUCUGAUCAAAUCAUUAUUCUCAUCUUCUUCAAUGUAAAUGUGCUUAUGUAUCCUUUUAAUAAUAAUAGAGUAAAAUAAUACAUGUAAUAAUAAUAGAGUAAAAUAAUAAUAAAUACAGGAAAAUACAUGUAAUAAUAGAGUAAAAUAAUAAAUGCAAUAAUAUCAGAGUGAAAUAAUCAAUGUAUUAAUAAUAGUAAUAAAAAUAGAGUAAACUAAAUGUAAUAGUAGCAACAAUAAUAGAGAAAAUAAUAAAUGUAGUAAUACCAAUAAUAAUAGAGAAAAAUAAUAAAUGUACCAUAUAUUCUCAAGUAUAAGCUGACCCAAAUAUAAGCCAACAAGGACCCUCACCCGAGUAUAAGCCGAGGGGGGCUUUUUCAGUCUUAAAAAGAGGGCUGAAAAACUAGGCUUAUACUCGAGUAUAUACAGUAAUUGUAUUUUUAAUUUUUGUAUUUGCUUUGUUUUAAAUUGAUCAAAGUGUGUGGCUGUUAGCCAACUUGAGUCCCCUCGAGGAGAAAAGUGGGUUAUUAAUAAAGUUAAUAAAUAAUAGUAAUAAUGGUACUUCUUUUGGCAAUAAGUAGUUUUUAAAACUGCAUAUCCUUUCUAUGGGAGCUUGACCAAGAAUGUAUCUAAGAAAUAUUUCACACUACAUAAUUAUAACAUUUCAAUACAACAAUAAUUGUUAGGUCCUGCUGCAAUGUAACUCUUUGAUCAUUUUCUCCCCAAAUCACCCUAGAGGACCUACAAAUGCCUAAAGAAGUAUUCUUCCUAGAAAUCUCUAGGUCCUCUGGUGUUACUCUAUGGUUAACUUGGAUGGCUGAAAAUGUUCAUAUCUGAAUGAUUCCUUGGGGUAAAAAGCAAAACACAGGGCAUCAAAAACUAACAGAAGGAAAAGUUCAAAUCUAGCCUUCUCCAAGAUGAGCUGGUUUUCUAUAAGCAAUGAUUUUCAUUUUCAGUUUAAAGGAAUGCUGUAACAUGUAAUUGCUCCUCGAAUAUUGUGAUGCUGCUCCACCCAGCAAAAGCUGCAACACAUAAUUCUUCUGAUUAUGUAGCUCCUAGAUAGAUACAACAAGAGGGGCUAUGAUUCCAAUUUUGGUUUGGGUGUGCUCUUUGGUGACACUCCUUAAGUUUAAAGAAAGGCCAUAUAACAUGUUACACAGCAAUAUAUUUUAGAUUUCCAACCCUAAAGUAAUAAAAAAAAACAUGAGUGCCGAAUGCCAAAAUGCAAACUAUCCCAGGGCCAAAAUGUCUGGAAACUUCAUGGUCAAUCCUACAGUACCUCAUGAGGUAAAGGAACUUUAUUUGGCCUCAAUUAAAGAAAGUGUCUAACUUGCCAACUAUAAUCAAAACACCAUUUUUAAAAAAUCACAGAGACCUGUCUAGUCUGCUUUCAAAGGGCCGUCAGACAAGUUUGAGAAUAAAGCUUUAUAUUAGUCUGUCAGCAAAAAUUCAAAUACCCCUUUAUUUGGUGUAGGACGUGCUCCUUUUGGAACGGUAUAUUGUCAGCAUUCCUAUAUACUGUCUUUCUCAGAACUCUUUUUAUCCUGAAUUUAGCAACCCUAAAUAUAACUUGAAAGCAUUCCUGAAAAAUUAUAGGCCAAGAACAGUUGACAGACAGAGAACUGAUAGGAAAACUUGCUCACAUUACUUAUGUUGAAGACCCAAACAACACACGGCAUGCAAACUCAUGUAGGGAUAGCUGAAAAGCAUGUUUUAAGAAGGAAAAAGUUGUAGCCAGUGCGGUCAGUUCAGAUCAGAAGUGGAAAUAGAAUCAUAAACCUUUUCUUUUCCAGUUUUAUAUGCAUUCUUUCUCCUUUUGUUUUCAUCACAGAGAAUUUUCUUUUCCCCUUUUAGUCUGUUACUGAAUUUAUUAGUGUAUUAACCAACUUACCAAGACAAGGAUGCCACUGUUAUUACUGAGAAUUGUUUUGUAAUUGGCAGCUUUUGAAAAGGUAAUCAUAAUGGCAUAAUUAUUACUUUGGACUUUAUCACACUAGGCUGUUGUCUUGUGGCAAUCACAUUGUUUGAGUAAAUGGAAACAUAUUGUUAUUGGAAUGAUUGCUUUUAACCUCG